Long non-coding RNA from Panthera uncia (snow leopard), 491 nucleotides. RefSeq lists it as uncharacterized. The transcript has 2 exons. The record is from RefSeq and is a predicted model, not a curated record. NCBI's taxonomy places the organism in Eukaryota, Metazoa, Chordata, Mammalia, Carnivora, Felidae.
GCAGCGCAGCGUGGGCUAGAAGGGCCAGGGUCACGGGGCGAGCGAUUAAACCAUCAAUCACCCCCCGAUGCUGACAGCCACCCCUCACCUUGGACCCUCCGCCGUCUGCGAGCCCCGGGGCCAGCGGCAACUCAAAAACAGGCCUGGAGGCCUCCGAACCCUUCAAGGUAACAAGCCUCCGUGCUUUGCACUGGCUGUUCCCUCUGCCUGGAAUGCUCUUCCUCCACAUACCACGUGACUCCUCUUUGCCUGCUCCGGAGCUUCGUGCAGAUGUCACCUCCUCAGUGAGGACACCCAGUUAAAAGCGCCUGCCCCACCCACGCGGUUUUGUUGUUUCUCGAGCGGGCGCGCACCCCCACCUAAUGUACCGGAGGCUGUGUUUGCUGGGUCGGUCUGACCACCUCACUGGAGUGUCAGCCGGAGGGCAGGGGUGUAGCCCCUUCAUCGCCCGGCACAGCACCUAGCAUGAAAUAAACACUCAGUGAAUUCUU